UGCGGUUAUACAAAAAUUAAAUUAAUUUUUUUUAGGGUUUAAUAAAUAAAAGUUAAAUUAAUAAUUUAAAUUUUAAAUUAUAAGGUGAAAUUUUAAUUUAAUUAAAAUUUAUUUAUUUUUAUGACAUUAAUAAAUUUUAUAAAAAACUAGGAUUAGAUACCCUAUUAUAAAAAUUUAAAUUUAAUAAUCUUAAAAUAGUAUAUAAUUUUUUAUAGAAACUUAAAUAAUUUGGCGGUAUUUUAGUUCAUUUAGAGGAAUCUGUCUAAUAAUUGAUAAUCCACGAUUAAAUUUACUUAAUUUUUAAUUUUGUAUAUCGUUGUUAAAAAAAUAUUUUUAAAUAAUUAUAAUAUUUUAAAAUUUAAAUAAAAAAUUAAAUCAGAUCAAGAUGCAGAUUAUAAUUAAGAAUAUGAUGGAUUACAAUAAAAUUUAUUUUAUUUGGAUAUUAAUUUGAAAUAAAUUAAUUGAAAUUGGAUUUAAAUGUAAUUUUAUUAAUUUUAAUAAAAUGAUUUUAAAUUAAAAUAUGUACAUAUUGCCCGUCGCUUUCAUUUAUAAAUUGAAAUAAGUCGUAACAAAGUAGAAGUACUGGAAAGUGUUUCUAGAAAGAU
RNAcentral lists this ribosomal RNA (605 nucleotides) under Zygaena sengana. RNAcentral describes it as "Zygaena rosinae sengana partial 12S ribosomal RNA". Lineage: Eukaryota; Metazoa; Arthropoda; Insecta; Lepidoptera; Zygaenidae. The record is from RNAcentral.